UAUCUACUUUUAGACAUUGAAGAUGUCAGAAGACUGAAACCCAGUUAUCUGGAAUCCACUGUUGACUGGUUUAGACGUUACAAAGUUCCUGAUGGAAAACAAGAGAACCAGUUUGCCUUUAAUGCAGAAUUCAAAAAUAAGGCGUUUGCAAUAGAUGUGAUUAAAUGUACCCAUGCUCAUUGGAAGGCACUAGUAACCAAAAAGUCAGAUGGAGGAGAAAUCAACUGCACUAACACCACUGUAGAUGGUAGUCCUUUUAUCUGCAAACAACAAGAAGCUCAAGCCAUUGUGAACGCUACACCUCCAUUUGGACCUGCAAGCCCUAUCCCAGAAGACGUGGACAAGUGGUACUAUCAUCAGAAGAACUAAUUAGGUGAAGACCUCCCGCUAUUAUUGCAUGCCUUUCUGCAGGCAUUUUCAUGUGCAACAUAGAGAAGAUAAUGGCAGAACAGAUAUGUGUAUACAAACAGCGAUCAUUGUAACCCUUUUAGUUACUUCACGGUUCCAUAUUUUACAGCGUGCUAUGAUUGAUGCUCUCUUUCAGCAACACUACGACAGAGGCAUUAUCUCUAUUUUGCAUCAGCAGUAUGCACUUUCUGUUCAGAUUGUGCUUAUUUUGUAAAACCUAACUGUACUGGCAUGCUGGAAUCUGCUAAAUAAAUAUUCCAACCUCUUUAUAGAUUUCCUGUACAAUAGAAGCAAAUAAAGCUACUUUUGUCAAUA
Molecule: long non-coding RNA, 723 nt
Organism: Nanorana parkeri
Lineage: Eukaryota; Metazoa; Chordata; Amphibia; Anura; Dicroglossidae
Exons: 5
Source: RefSeq, a predicted model, not a curated record